RNAcentral lists this ribosomal RNA (695 nucleotides) under uncultured bacterium. RNAcentral describes it as "bacterial SSU rRNA". It matches the Rfam family "Bacterial small subunit ribosomal RNA", at positions 32 to 715 of the family's 1533-position model. The record is from RNAcentral.
AACGCUAGCUACAGGCUUAACACAUGCAAGUCGAAGGGCAGCAUUUUAGUUUGCUUGCAAACUAAAGAUGGCGACCGGCGCACGGGUGAGUAACACGUAUCCAACCUGCCGAUAACUCGGGGAUAGCCUUUCGAAAGAAAGAUUAAUAUCCGAUAGUAUAUUAAAACCGCAUGGUUUUACUAUUAAAGAAUUUCGGUUAUCGAUGGGGAUGCGUUCCAUUAGUUUGUUGGCGGGGUAACGGCCCACCAAGACUACGAUGGAUAGGGGUUCUGAGAGGAAGGUCCCCCACAUUGGAACUGAGACACGGUCCAAACUCCUACGGGAGGCAGCAGUGAGGAAUAUUGGUCAAUGGACGAGAGUCUGAACCAGCCAAGUAGCGUGAAGGAUGACUGCCCUAUGGGUUGUAAACUUCUUUUAUAUGGGAAUAAAGUAUUCCACGUGUGGGAUUUUGUAUGUACCAUAUGAAUAAGGAUCGGCUAACUCCGUGCCAGCAGCCGCGGUAAUACGGAGGAUCCGAGCGUUAUCCGGAUUUAUUGGGUUUAAAGGGAGCGUAGGUGGAUUGUUAAGUCAGUUGUGAAAGUUUGCGGCUCAACCGUAAAAUUGCAGUUGAAACUGGCAGUCUUGAGUACAGUAGAGGUGGGCGGAAUUCGUGGUGUAGCGGUGAAAUGCUUAGAUAUCACGAAGAACUCCGAUUG